Molecule: ribosomal RNA, 253 nt
Filed under: uncultured bacterium
Lineage: Bacteria
Description: partial 16S ribosomal RNA
Rfam family: Bacterial small subunit ribosomal RNA
Source: RNAcentral
UACGUAGGGGGCAAGCGUUGUCCGGAUUUAUUGGGCGUAAAGAGCGUGUAGGCGGCCAGGUAGGUCAGCUGUGAAAACUCGAGGCUCAACCUCGAGACGUCGGUUGAAACCACCUGGCUAGAGUCCGGAAGAGGAGAGUGGAAUUCCCGGUGUAGCGGUGAAAUGCGCAGAUAUCGGGAGGAACACCAAUUGCGAAGGCAGCUCGCUGGGACGUAACUGACGCUGAGACGCGAAAGCGUGGGGAGCAAACAGG